Molecule: transfer RNA, 65 nt
Filed under: Helicocranchia sp. n SB-2022
Lineage: Eukaryota; Metazoa; Mollusca; Cephalopoda; Oegopsida; Cranchiidae
Description: tRNA-Thr
Rfam family: tRNA
About the family: Transfer RNA (tRNA) molecules are approximately 80 nucleotides in length. Their secondary structure includes four short double-helical elements and three loops (D, anti-codon, and T loops). Further hydrogen bonds mediate the characteristic L-shaped molecular structure. tRNAs have two regions of fundamental functional importance: the anti-codon, which is responsible for specific mRNA codon recognition, and the 3' end, to which the tRNAs corresponding amino acid is attached (by aminoacyl-tRNA synthetases). tRNAs cope with the degeneracy of the genetic code in two manners: having more than one tRNA (with a specific anti-codon) for a particular amino acid; and 'wobble' base-pairing, i.e. permitting non-standard base-pairing at the 3rd anti-codon position.
Source: RNAcentral
GUUAUAAUAGUUUAAAUAAAACAUUGGUCUUGUAAACCAAAAUUAGAUCAUAAAUCUUUACAACU